This 72-nucleotide transfer RNA is filed under the name Desulfuromonas soudanensis. It matches the Rfam family "tRNA". Rfam says of the family: Transfer RNA (tRNA) molecules are approximately 80 nucleotides in length. Their secondary structure includes four short double-helical elements and three loops (D, anti-codon, and T loops). Lineage: Bacteria; Pseudomonadati; Thermodesulfobacteriota; Desulfuromonadia; Desulfuromonadales; Desulfuromonadaceae. The record is from Rfam by way of RNAcentral.
UGGGGCGUCGCCAAGCGGUAAGGCACUGGUCUCUGACACCAGCAUUCCAAGGUUCGAAUCCUUGCGCCCCAG